RNAcentral lists this ribosomal RNA (725 nucleotides) under uncultured bacterium. Its description in RNAcentral is "bacterial SSU rRNA". It matches the Rfam family "Bacterial small subunit ribosomal RNA", at positions 73 to 815 of the family's 1533-position model. The record is from RNAcentral.
GUUUUCUUCGGAAAACGGAUUAGCGGCGGACGGGUGAGUAACACGUGGGCAACCUGCCUUAUAGAGGGGAAUAGCCUUCCGAAAGGAAGAUUAAUACCGCAUAAUAUUAUCGAGUGGCAUCACUUGAUAAUCAAAGGAGCAAUCCGCUAUAAGAUGGGCCCGCGUCGCAUUAGUUAGUUGGUGGGGUUAUGGCCUACCAAGACGACGAUGCGUAGCCGACCUAAGAGGGUGAUCGGCCACAUUGGGACUGAGACACGGCCCAGACUCCUACGGGAGGCAGCAGUGGGGAAUAUUGCACAAUGGAGGAAACUCUGAUGCAGCAACGCCGCGUGAGCGAUGAAGGUCUUCGGAUCGUAAAGCUCUGUCUUCGGGGAUGAUAAUGACAGUACCCGAGGAGGAAGCCACGGCUAACUACGUGCCAGCAGCCGCGGUAAUACGUAGGUGGCGAGCGUUAUCCGGAUUUAUCGGGCGUAAAGGGAGCGUAGGCGGAUGAUUAAAUGGGAUGUGAAAUUCUCGGGCUCAACCCGAGCGCUGCAUUCCAAACUGGUUAUCUAGGGUACAGGAGAGGAGAGUGGAAUUCCUAGUGUAGCGGUGAAAUGCGUAGAGAUUAGGAAGAACACCAGUGGCGAAGGCGACUCUCUGGACUGUAACUGACGCUGAGCUCGAAAGCGUGGGGAGCGAACAGGAUUAGAUACCCUGGUAGUCCACGCCGUGAACGAUGAAUA